CAGUCGCCGCGGGAAUACGUAGGGUGCAAGCGUUAAUCGGAAUUACUGGGCGUAAAGCGUGCGCAGGCGGUUAUAUAAGACAGAUGUGAAAUCCCCGGGCUCAACCUGGGAACUGCAUUUGUGACUGUAUAGCUAGAGUACGGCAGAGGGGGAUGGAAUUCCGCGUGUAGCAGUGAAAUGCGUAGAUAUGCGGAGGAACACCGAUGGCGAAGGCAAUCCCCUGGGCCUGUACUGACGCUCAUGCACGAAAGCGUGGGGAGCAAACAGGAUUAGAUACCCCUGUAGUCCCUGUUUCUUAUAC
This 301-nucleotide ribosomal RNA is filed under the name uncultured bacterium. Its description in RNAcentral is "partial 16S ribosomal RNA". It matches the Rfam family "Bacterial small subunit ribosomal RNA", at positions 509 to 807 of the family's 1533-position model. The record is from RNAcentral.